GUGAGCUGAGCAGCUGGAGCAGUACAUGUGUGCAGAGGAAGGAGCAGGAGCUGCAGUGUGGAGAGCGUGCAGGAGGGCCAGUGUGUGAACUCAUGUGGCGCGGACCAGGAGUGACGCAGCGGCGGAGUUCCCAGAGCAGGACAAGGGGUCAGAGCUGAGUGCAGCAACGCAUAGCGCCCACACUAGCGUGACCCAGGUUUGGAGACAGCCAGGCAGCGAUCGCUUCCACAGAGGCCUACUACGCACAGGCAGCUGCCGUGCGGCCGCGUCUAGGCGAGACUACAGUGACCAAGGGAUACUGCGUGACAUCCAGCUGGAGCUGGCAGAUGUGGAAGGUACUGGGCACCCUUACAACCACCUCAGGUUUGAGCCAGGGACACUGGGCAUCAGCAUUGUCACCACAGAUUUGAACCAGGGCUAUUGGGUACCCUCUCAGCAACCGCAGAACUGAGCCAGGGCUAUCACAAAGACACGUGUCUCCCCUUCUCUCCUUCCAUAUCUCACAUUAACACUGGGUUACCUACCCAAAGGCAGAUUCUGCUACCCAGCAACGGUGAAUGGGACAGUGACUGUGGGUGUAAACCCUAAUUACAGAAAAAAGGUUUACAUAAAAUGCAUUUGGAUUCUGAGGAUCUGGCAACAAGUGUGUGAGGACGUAAAAACCCAACCGCUCCAGGUUCAACAAGACAAAGGCCAAAAGGUUGCACCAAGGACACUGGAUGACUAAACUAAGUGACACAAGUGGACAGCACAAACACCUGGCCCAUCUCGGAGUGGCACUGCAGUGGCAGACAGGAUGGCAGUUUUAAAAACAAGGCCCCAAAAAGCAUAUAAUGCAAAGAGAAAAAAGAGGUGCUCCGAGGUCGCUGGAUGACUAAGCAGGACUUGGCAUCUGCCCACACUGCCAAAAGUACCAAAACCUGGUUCAAUGACCGUGGGAUUACUGUGCUGGAUUGAACCGCAAACUCGCCUGACCUGAACCCCAUAGAGAAUCUAUGGGGCAUUGCCGAGAGAAAGAUGAGAGACAUGAGACCAAACAAUGAAGAAGAGCUGAAGGCCGCUAUUGAAGCUUCCUGAGGUUCCAUAACACCUCAGCAGUGCCCCAGCUGAUAGAAUCCAUGCCAUGCCGCAUUGAGGCAGUAAUUCAUGCAAAAACUGGACCAAACCAAGUACUGAGUACAUAUGCAUGAUUAUACUAUUCAGAGGGCCGACAUUUCUGUAUUUAAAAUCCUUUAUUUAUUGAUUUUAUGUUAUAUUCUAAUUUUCUGAGAUUUUGGG
Long non-coding RNA from Pseudophryne corroboree (corroboree frog), 1278 nucleotides. RefSeq lists it as uncharacterized. The transcript is spliced from 4 exons. Lineage: Eukaryota; Metazoa; Chordata; Amphibia; Anura; Myobatrachidae. The record is from RefSeq and is a predicted model, not a curated record.